Molecule: long non-coding RNA, 1440 nt
Filed under: Sorghum bicolor (sorghum)
Lineage: Eukaryota; Viridiplantae; Streptophyta; Magnoliopsida; Poales; Poaceae
Description: long non-coding RNA (SBIC_LNC001163)
Source: RNAcentral
UGGUGGAGUAAAUGAUAGUGAUGGUAAAAAUGUAUAAGUGAUAAUAAAACUUACUUCUCAUCGCUCCUCAUAUUGCUAUCUCUCCUCUUCUUUGAUCUUUGCUUUGGGAUAACAUGGGCUAUCUUUCUUUUUUUUCAGGUGGGUAGUAGACACCCUUAAUUCCAUUGUCGGACACUUGUCCAUUUUUUCCGCUCAAGUGGGCAUCGUUGUACCCCUAAUUCUACUCCGGACACUUGUCCAUUUUUACCUCUCGUCUCGCUCUUUUUCUUUCUUUUUCGAGGUUCCGGGCACUUGCCCCUUUUUAUUUCCUCGCAUAUUUUUGCAUAACCUAUGCCUCUUCUGCAUUGAAUAUUUUUAGAGAGAGAGAAUAACAACACUUGGGACAGUGAGUGAUAAUAUUUUUAGCAAUUUUAAUGAAUGGUGGUGGAUGGUGUAGUAGAUGUGUGCAAGUGAAUAUCUUAAUUUAACCACAUGAAAAGCUCCUAAGGGUAUACACAGCUCAAUCAAACUCAAUGUGAAUAUAGUAAAAGAUGUUAUAGCAAGUAUGGCUAUGGUAGGAAGUUUGUAAUGCUAGGAACUCAUCAUGUGAUUUGUAAGUUUUCAAAAUAAAUCUCCAGAACUUAGUGUAGCAGGAACAAGAUAAACAGUAGCUCAAACUUUAUAUCAUGCCUUUCUCUUACCUAGACUUUAGUUUUAUGCUUCCUAUAGAUAGUAAUUUCAGUUUUAAUAAUUCCUGGAAGAACUCUAAUAUAAAAGCUAGGUUCUUGAAAGUAAGCAAACAGAGCAACUGUUCAUCAUUUCCAUCAUGUAUCUUUUUGGUCUUUUUAUUUUUUUUCUAGAGAUUAACACUUAGCAGAUAAAUAAAGCACACUUAUCUACACACUCUUUUUAUUUUGUUUUCAUGUUUAUAAAAUACAGUAAUUUAAGGUAAUAAAAUAUUUAUUGGGUUUUCUAAGUUUUUCUCUUUAAAAUAAAAAUACUAAAAUAGAAAAGAAUAAAUAAGAAAAGCAAAUAAAAACUUACUUGAUAAAACGGGGAGGAACUCCCCCAAGCUGGAUGUGGUUUUACCCAAUGUUCCAGAAUCGCAUCAUGGUGGUGAUGUUGUCGUUCAUUGUCGUGGUGUCUUGUCUCAGUUCUUGUACUGCAGUGGCGUGAUCCUGGUCCCACUUUUGUUGCUGUUCCAGGAGUCGUCCAUGUUCCGCUUGCGUAUUUUGGAUGUCGAGGAGGGUGUUGUUGGUACGGGUGAAGAAAGCGCCGGCCUCUUGGUAGUAGUUGUUCGUGAAAGCAUAAGAGGCGUCGGAGUAUCGUCCUGCAUCGAAUUGGGGCGGAGGUCUGGACCCUAAAGCUCCAUAUGGAUCAGUGGAGUACCUGCCCGUAUGGAAAGGCGGGUUUGUCCACUGGUGAUAUUGGCUCUCCGGCCAUGUCUCAUGUGUUGGCUCU